CUCUCUCUGGAACUCCAAUUGUGCCAGGGGAUGAAGACAAUCUGCGGAAGACCCAGCGAUGGGUGUGGAGCCAGGAGGCUGGUGGGCAGGGCCGGGUCCUUCCCGCUCUGGGAACCAAGACCCCAGGCCGGAGGAGGGAAGAGUCUGUGGAAGGGGUGAGGCAGGCUGAAGGCCAGGAAAGAGGGAGGCACAGCUGGAUGCUGCCACCGAGGAGGCCUCAUCUUCCUUCCAGACUCUGGGCAGAGAGCAGGAAGUAAGGAUGUCCCAGGAGUGGCUUCCCGGAAGUGUGCUCGGGGCAGCUGCCAUCGGAGGCCAGGCCCAGGCCCUCCCUGAGCAGUCUGAGUCCCGCAGAGGUGACUUCCUGCAAAUGUCCGUCCAUGGACCAUUCACCAGUUGCUGGAUGCUGGAGAUGCAGAUGAGGACCCAGGGUUGCUGGCUUCAUGGCCCUCAGAUGCUAGAGGGAAACACAGACAAUAAACAGAUUUUUAAGUAUGCAGCAAAACUUUCUUGGAAAAGGAAGAAACAUUUGUUCCAGUGACCCAGCACUGUCCACCUCUGCUAUGGACUGAUCUGCCCCGGG
RNAcentral lists this long non-coding RNA (580 nucleotides) under Heterocephalus glaber (naked mole-rat). RNAcentral's name for it is "lncRNA (ENSHGLG00000048666.1)". Lineage: Eukaryota; Metazoa; Chordata; Mammalia; Rodentia; Bathyergidae. The record is from RNAcentral.